GAUGAACGCUGGCGGCGUGCUUAACACAUGCAAGUCGAGCGAGAGAGUUCUUCGGAACAAUCUAGCGGCGGACGGGUGAGUAACACGUGGGCAACCGGCCCCAUAGAGGGGAAUAGCCUUCGGAAGGGAAGAUUAAAACCCCAUAAAAACGUUGAGGGGCAUCGUUCGAAAAUCAACGGAUGAAUCGGCAAUGAGAUGGGCCCGCGGGGCAUUAGCUAGUUGGUGAGGUAACGGCCCACCAAGGCGACGAUGCGUAGCCGACCUGAGAGGGUGAUCGGCCACAUUGGGACUGAGACACGGCCCAGACUCCUACGGGAGGCAGCAGUGGGGAAUAUUGCACAAUGGGGGAAACCCUGAUGCAGCAACGCCGCGUGAGUGAUGACGGCCUUCGGGUUGUAAAGCUCUGUCUUUGGGGACGAUAAUGACGGUACCCAAGGAGGAAGUCACGGCUAACUACGUGCCAGCCGCCGCAGUAA
RNAcentral lists this ribosomal RNA (476 nucleotides) under uncultured bacterium. RNAcentral's name for it is "partial 16S ribosomal RNA". It matches the Rfam family "Bacterial small subunit ribosomal RNA", at positions 28 to 523 of the family's 1533-position model. The record is from RNAcentral.